Molecule: non-coding RNA, 84 nt
Filed under: pig gut metagenome
Description: Glycine riboswitch
Rfam family: Glycine riboswitch aptamer
About the family: This family represents the bacterial glycine riboswitch. Glycine riboswitches usually consist of two metabolite-binding aptamers domains with similar structures in tandem.
Source: RNAcentral
UACUUUGGAGAAGCCCGCCUUUUUUGCGCGGGUGCCGAAGGGGCAAGGCGGUUUUCCGCUAAUCUCUCAGGCAAAAGGACAAAG